RNAcentral lists this long non-coding RNA (1963 nucleotides) under Musa acuminata (dwarf banana). RNAcentral's name for it is "long non-coding RNA (MACU_LNC005999)". Lineage: Eukaryota; Viridiplantae; Streptophyta; Magnoliopsida; Zingiberales; Musaceae. The record is from RNAcentral.
AAGUCCACGGAGACAAGAGGCUCGUCGCAGACGGAGAGGAUGCCCUUCAGUUCUUUGUCGGCAGCAUCUCGGAACGCGGCAUUGACCUCCUCGGCGAAGGUCUUCUUGGAUACUUGCACAACAAGGUCGACGACCGAGACGUUAGGGGUGGGCACACGGAGGGCGAUUCCGUUGAGUUUGCCCUUGAGGGAGGGGAGAACCAGGGCGACGGCCUUCGCGGCGCCGGUGGAGGUGGGGACUAUGUUGAGCGCAGCGGCUCGCGCACGACGGAGGUCGCGGUGGCUCGCAUCAAGCAGCCUUUGGUCCCCGGUGUAGGAGUGAGUGGUGGUCAUGGUUCCCUUGAUGAUUCCUGUCAUGGGUUUGGAUGGCAGAAACCAUGUUACGUUCCCAUGCAACAAGAAAAGCUAACGAUAGCACAUCUCAUAAGUUAGCUAUUAUAUAUCAUCAUGAAAACUCAAAACAGCAAUCAUGAAUCCCACAUUUGAAACCACAUAAUAUACCCUAUGAAGAUCACAAAACACGAAGCCCAAUAUAAUUAGCACAAGCAUGAGUAGACCAUGAGAGUCGAUCAAUACUGUAUCUGUCAAUCUCAAAUGCACUACUGCAUGAAUUCGUCGAGUGACAAUUACCUAUCUUCUAUUAAGAUCUUAGAGGGCAUGAAGAAGUUCCUAUAUGACAUUUCUGAUAGACAAGAAAUAUGAACCAUGAGUCUUGUACAACUAGCAUCGUCCUAUGCUUGGUGUAGUGGCAUUAAUGGAAGCUUACCUGAUGCUCAUGCAGAAUUGAACAAAGUUUUAUAAGCUAUAAACAUAGUUAUUUGACAUCUCUUCUCCAUUCCAAUGUUCAGCGAGCUGCAAAGGGUCAAGUUUAACUUGAUAACAACAGAAAUGUAGUAAGUAAUCAGAACAUGUUCUGCAAGAUGCUUGAUUGUGUUUGUCUUUGACAGCUUUAAGAUUCGUUAUGGAGAUAUCACAAUGUCUUUUUUUGUCAUAUUGUCUUUAACUGAUGAGACCAUUGCCCACUGGAAAUGAGCCAUUUCAUUUAUCCCCUAGUGAGCAGACCUAUCUCCAUCCUUUCCUAACAUCACAACUAAGAAAUCCAUUCCUAAUCUAUACAGAAAAUUUAGGAGUGUCUUCAGAGGAAACAGUAGCUCACCUGCCCAAAAAAAAGGGGCCCCAAAAACAGUAGUGGCAUUAAGUAAUUGUAGUUCAUCAGUUAAUCUAAUAUGGGAUUUAUGGUUUCAUGUGAUGCAAUGAAUUUAAUGCUCCCGAAAGAAUGUUUUAAGAAGUUCCUCUGUACACUCAAAAUUUGAAGAGUUCAAAUUUCUAGUGUCCAUCCCCUGUAUCAUCUUUUGUGGGAAUGUGAGUGUGACAGCAGAAGGUGCAGAGCAAUGCAGAAGAAACAAAUACGCAAUAUCUUCAAGAAGCAUACAUCCAAUGGAUUCAAAAGCACAUAACCUCUCUAAAGGAACAAAUCGGUAGAAAUAUAACUACAAAGCUUCUAAUUCUUGGACCAAAGGUUGCAUCUCAUCAUAAAGAAAGGUAUGUAGCGGAAUGACGAGCAGGUUUCUUAGAAGAAGCAAAAGCAGGCUAUGCUUUAAACACGAACAGGACACCUUUCAUGAUAGAAAUGAAUUAAUGGAAGUUUUCUGUCAUUAUUAUACUACUCGAAGAAACUAAAAAGACCUCUUAUAGUUUCAACCUCGGAUCCAACUGUAAACAAAGACAUGAUGCAACUGUAAACAGAGGUCAUGGCAUCUCGUAAUAGCAGGCUAGCAGAGCAAAGAUGAAAGGCUCACCAAACUUCUGGUCAAGGAUCUUGACGAAGGGGGCGAGGCAGUUGGUGGUGCAGGAGGCGUUGCUGAUGAUGGGCUCAUCGGGGUUGUACGCAUCCUCGUUGACGCCCACCACGUAGGUGGGGAUGUCACCUUUGCCCGGGGCGGUGAUGAGCACCUUCUUGGCGC